ACACACACACACACACACACACACACACACCGAUGCAGAAGAACAAGUUAAUACGUGCAAAUAUUGAAUCUCAUUGGCUCAGUGAUGUAGGGGGACACUUUGUGUCAACUCACUUGAUCCUGUGUGCGUCUUUGAGAGGGCACCCUUUGCGUUUGUGCUCCAC
This is a long non-coding RNA of Sebastes umbrosus (honeycomb rockfish), 163 nucleotides long. RefSeq lists it as uncharacterized. The record is from RefSeq and is a predicted model, not a curated record. Lineage: Eukaryota; Metazoa; Chordata; Actinopteri; Perciformes; Sebastidae. The transcript has 3 exons.